AUUGAACGCUGGCGGUAUGCUUAACACAUGCAAGUCGAACGGUAGCAGGCCUUCGGGCGCUGACGAGUGGCGGACGGGUGAGUAACGCGUAGGAAUCUGCCUGGUAGUGGGGGACAACGUGGGGAAACUCACGCUAAUACCGCAUACGCCCUACGGGGGAAAGCGGGGGACCUUCGGGCCUCGCACUAUUGGAUGAGCCUAUGUCUGAUUAGCUUGUUGGUAGGGUAAUGGCCUACCAAGGCGACGAUCAGUAGCUGGUCUGAGAGGACGAUCAGCCACACUGGAACUGAGACACGGUCCAGACUCCUACGGGUGGCAG
Molecule: ribosomal RNA, 319 nt
Filed under: uncultured Pseudomonadota bacterium
Lineage: Bacteria; Pseudomonadati; Pseudomonadota
Description: bacterial SSU rRNA
Rfam family: Bacterial small subunit ribosomal RNA
Source: RNAcentral